GCAACCAGGUUUCCUGCCAAGGCUCAGC
This 28-nucleotide non-coding RNA is filed under the name Rattus norvegicus (Norway rat). Lineage: Eukaryota; Metazoa; Chordata; Mammalia; Rodentia; Muridae. The record is from RNAcentral.